CCAGACAGCCAGGAUGUUGGCUUAGAAGCAGCCAUCAUUUAAAGAAAGCGUAAUAGCUCACUGGUCGAGUCGGCCUGCGCGGAAGAUGUAACGGGGCUAAACCAUGCACCGAAGCUGCGGCAGCGACACUAUGUGUUGUUGGGUAGGGGAGCGUUCUGUAAGCCUGCGAAGGUGUACUGUGAGGUAUGCUGGAGGUAUCAGAAGUGCGAAUGCUGACAUAAGUAACGAUAAAGCGGGUGAAAAGCCCGCUCGCCGGAAGACCAAGGGUUCCUGUCCAACGUUAAUCGGGGCAGGGUGAGUCGACCCCUAAGGCGAGGCCGAAAGGCGUAGUCGAUGGGAAACAGGUUAAUAUUCCUGUACUUGGUGUUACUGCGAAGGGGGGACGGAGAAGGCUAUGUUGGCCGGGCGACGGUUGUCCCGGUUUAAGCGUGUAGGCUGGUUUUCCAGGCAAAUCCGGAAAAUCAAGGCUGAGGCGUGAUGACGAGGCACUACGGUGCUGAAGCAACAAAUGCCCUGCUUCCAGGAAAAGCCUCUAAGCAUCAGGUAACAUCAAAUCGUACCCCAAACCGACACAGGUGGUCAGGUAGAGAAUACCAAGGCGCUUGAGAGAACUCGGGUGAAGGAACUAGGCAAAAUGGUGCCGUAACUUCGGGAGAAGGCACGCUGAUA
This 669-nucleotide ribosomal RNA is filed under the name Escherichia coli. Its description in RNAcentral is "partial 23S ribosomal RNA". It matches the Rfam family "Bacterial large subunit ribosomal RNA", at positions 1085 to 1756 of the family's 2925-position model. Lineage: Bacteria; Pseudomonadati; Pseudomonadota; Gammaproteobacteria; Enterobacterales; Enterobacteriaceae. The record is from RNAcentral.